Molecule: long non-coding RNA, 2253 nt
Filed under: Salmo salar (Atlantic salmon)
Lineage: Eukaryota; Metazoa; Chordata; Actinopteri; Salmoniformes; Salmonidae
Description: lncRNA (ENSSSAG00000092947.1, ENSSSAG00000098237.1)
Source: RNAcentral
GUGAAGGUGACCUUUGCAGUUCAAUUGCCUGCCUGUAUGUGAUAAUGGACUGCAAUAUGGCACCCCUGCCAGAGGGGGUAGUGAUCGAUUCAGUACUGUAGCCCACCUCUCUCUCUCUCUCACUCUCACUCUCACACCACCGAGUUUUGCUAGCCGUCCUCACUCUGCUUUAGUUAUGCUGGGAGGAAAGCUUGUAUCCUGUUGACAAGGCCCUGUUCAUUGGAAAGACAGACUGUACUCCAGGGAGUGUCUCUGUCUCUCGCCACAGAAUCUGUGUGAAACUGGAAGAGGGCAUUGUUCCUUUCUCGAUAAGGAAUGAGAAAAUAGUGUAUAUGAUAUGCCUACUCAUUAACUCGUACACUACACGCGCCUUCAGUUCACAAGUCCACAUGUUCAAUCACACACACACACAAUCAGAGGCACAAGAGGGUGAUGUGACCGCGGUGGAAUGUUGGGAUGCAUGGGAAACGCAUGUGCUGUUCAGGAAUUUCUCUGUCUUUUCCUCCCCUACAUUCUGUACCAUUCCCGUCAUUAGCCAUUCCUGCUCACUGAACGAACAUACGGCUCAAACUGAACAUGAUGAACUAAGAUUUAUCAGAUGAAGUUAAUAACGUCUCACCGGGUGGACGCUCGAGAUCUCUAUCUAUUCCUAAGAUCCAAGUUGGUCAAAGUUGGUUUGUGUACUAGUCCAACAUUCCAUGAACCUGCACUGCUUUCUAUGGCACAGCCUGUUGUUUCACCAUAUGCUGUCUGAUUUAAAGCCCCACACCCUGCAUUCCUUAGAUUGUGUGAACAGGAGACUCAGUCCCACUCGCUCUAUCACCACUCUCUCACAUUCACCAGGAACUUGUGCAAUCCCCAUUCCAUAGAGAAACAUGUCACUCUUCUUUACAUUGCUAAUGUGUUAUGUUAAUAUCAUUAUUUAAGUGGCAAUCGACCAUUCAGUUGGUUUGGAUGUUCUUAUUGUUUCUAAUUUGUUUAUUCAAAUUGCCUUUCCGCCAUUCAUUUUCUGUUGUAUACUUUUCUGAAUCUGUAUUUACAUUGGAUGACGUUUUCACACCCCUUCACACCUCUCCAAACACACUGACGUAGCCAGCACAUUAUGAGCCCCAUGUAAGAUUUUUCACUUGGCACUCUGCUGGACCGGCAUGCACGAUCAAUGGCCUAGCAGGUGUUUUCUGACUGCGGGCACUGAGUGGAAAAAUCGAAUGAGGAUGAUAUCGAUUGCACUCUGUCAAGCCAACUAUUUGGCACAAACAAAUUUACCGUACAUAGUCAAGCCGCUUGGAGGUUGCUGAGGGGAGGACGGCUCACAAUAAUGGCUGGAACGGAGCGAAUGGAAUGGCAUCAAACACAUGGAAACCAUUACCACAAGCCUGUUCUCCCCAAUUAAGGUGCCACCAACCUCCUGUGGUCAAGCCAAAACCAGAGUGAGCGGCCAAGCCGGCCCAGCAGUAUAAUUGAUGUCCCUGCACACCAGAUCGCUGUGGCGCAAUGCACUCAGGGCUUCCUCCUGGACCCAUGCAUCCUGUCUCGGACGUUCCCAACGUUCACAGGUGUCUUCGGUUUCCUCUUCCCAAGGGGUAGACAGAUGAACCCAUUGAUCUUUGCUGUGACACUGACUGCCCUCAGUGCCCUGUGACCCCUCCCAAGGUUCCUGUUUGUUCCUUCGACCAUCAUCCCCUCAGCAUCUUCUCAGCAUCCUCUCAGUCACACCCUUUAAAAGCUGCCCUCCCUGGACCACUGACGUCCAGGGAUCUCAGCAAUGCCACCGCACAAUAUUAAUUAUCAACACUGAUAUGGAUUGAACAUCAAUGAUAGAUUGAGUUUUGCUGAGUCUGGAGUUAUAGCAUGGGUUUGGGUGGAUAAGUGGCGAAGGAAAAGUGGCUCUAUAUUACUGUAUGUUUUGGGUCAUCAAUAUGGUCAGUUAGUGGUGGGAUUUGUGGUGAGGGUGACAGAAUAUGUAUAGAAACUGAUUGUGGUGAAUAGUGUUUUGGGGAAAGUGUGUGUGGUGUAGUGGGCUGUGGGCAGUUUCUCUUCUAUAACUUCUGUUUCUGUUCCUUCAUAUCCUCCAUCACAGUGUUCCCUAGAUGUGUGUGUUCAUCACGAUUUGUGUACGGCCUUGUGAAUAUGCAGAUAUGUUUGUGAGAGCAUGGCUGUUUGUACAGUGCAUUCGGAAAGUAUUCAGACCCCUUCCCUUUUUCCACAUUUUGUUACGUUACAGCUUUAUUCUAAAAUGGAUUUAAAAGCAAA